AGAGGGUUUGAUCCUGGCUCAGAUUGAACGCUGGCGGGAUGUACUUUACACAUGCAAGUCGAACGGCAGCACGGACUUCAGGUCUGAGUGGCGAGUAGCGAACAGGUGAGUAAUGUAUCGGAACGUGCCUAGUAGCGGGGGAUAACUACGCGAAAGCGUAGCUAAUACCGCAUACGCCCUUCGGGGGAAAGCGGGGGACCUUCGGGCUCGCACUAUUAGAGCGGCCGAUAUCGGAUUAGCUAGUUGGUGGGAGAGUAACGGCUCACCAAGGCGACGAUCCGUAGCUGGUUUGAGAGGACGACCAGCCACACUGGGACUGAGACACGGCCCAGACUCCUACGGGAGGCAGCAGUGGGGAAUUUUGGACAAUGGGGGAAACCCUGAUCCGGCAGCCAUCCCGCGUGUGCGAUGAAGGCCUUCGGGUUGUAAAGCACUUUUUGGCAGGAAAGAAACGGCACGGGAUAAUACCCCAUGCAACUGACGGUACCUGCAGAAUAAGCACCGGCUAACUACGUGCCAGCAGCCGCGGUAAUACGUAGGGUGCAAGCGUUAAUCGGAAUUACUGGGCCAAAGCGUGCGCAGGCGGUUCGGAAAGAAAGAUGCUGAAAUCCCAGAGCUUAACUUUGGAACUGCAUUUUUAACUACCGAGCUAGAGUGUGUCAGAGGGAGGUGGAGAUUCCGCGUGUAGCGCAGUGAAAUGCGUAGAUAUGCGGAGGAACACCGAUGGCGAAGGCAGCCUCCUGGGAUAACACUGACGCUCAUGCACGAAAGCGUGGGGAGCAAACAGGAUUAGAUACCCUGGUAGUCCACGCCUAAACGAUGUCAACUAGCUGUUGAGGCCUUCGGGCCUUGGUAGCGCAGCUAACGCGUGAAGUUGACCGCCUGGGGAGGUACGGUCGCAAGAUUAAAACUCAAAGGAAUUGACGGGGACCCGCACAAGCGGUGGAUGAUGUGGAUAAUUCGAUGCAACGCGAAAAACCUUACCUACCCUUGACAUGUCUGGAAUCCCGAAGAGAUUUGGGAGUGCUCGCAAGGAGAACCGGAACACAGGUGCUGCAUGGCUGUCGUCAGCUCGUGUCGUGAGAUGUUGGGUUAAGUCCGCAACGAGAGCGCAACCCUUGUCAUUAGUUGCUACGAAAGGGCACUCUAAUGAGACUGCCGGUGACAAACCGGAGGAAGGUGGGGAUGACGUCAAGUCCUCAUGGCCCUUAUGGGUAGGGCUUCACACGUCGCCGCAAUGGUCGGGACAGAGGGUCGCCAACCCGCGAGGGGGAGCCAAUCCCAGAAACCCGAUCGUAGUCCGGAUCGCAGUCUGCAACUCGACUGCGUGGAGUCAGGAUCGCUGGUAAUCGCGGAUCGGCACUGUCGCCGAGGUGAAUACGUUCCCGAGGUCUUGUACACCGCCCGUCACACCAUGGGAGUGGGUUUUACAGGAAGUAGUUAGCCUAACCGUAAGGAGGGCGAUUACCACGGUAGGAUUCAUGACUGGGUGAAGUCGUAACAAGGUAA
This 1509-nucleotide ribosomal RNA is filed under the name uncultured Bordetella sp. RNAcentral's name for it is "partial 16S-23S ribosomal RNA intergenic spacer". It matches the Rfam family "Bacterial small subunit ribosomal RNA". The record is from RNAcentral. Lineage: Bacteria; Pseudomonadati; Pseudomonadota; Betaproteobacteria; Burkholderiales; Alcaligenaceae.